UGUUAUGGAGUGUGAAGCAGGUUUUAAAUAUGCUCACCAUAUUUUGUGAGUUGUAAAAUAUUACAAGUAUUAUAUGUGUGAUUCUUACGGUAGAACAUGACUACAUACUUUUAAAACAGAAAACAGUGAUGGCAGAAGUUUGAUGCUGUUCAAGUGCUCAAAUCAAAGCUGUGCAUUCACCUAACCCAGCUCAGGUGUAAACUGAAUGAAGAACCUAUCCACAUGACUAGAACAGCAGGCUGUGGCAUCAUAAAUCUACAUGACUGUCAACCAACGUUUCCAGAUGCUGGCUGUAUUGGAGUAGAAAGCUCUGCCAGAAAUGGAGGCCUACAGGAAACCAGCAGCCAAAACUGCAGCCAUCACAGCCCUCUGGUGUGCUCUGGAAUGAAACAAUUGAAACUUCCUAAAAAGGUGUGUCCAGAAAACAUAUAACUGCCAUUGCUCAGGCUUUUGGAUGACCCUCUCA
This is a long non-coding RNA of Siniperca chuatsi (mandarin fish), 466 nucleotides long. RefSeq lists it as uncharacterized. Lineage: Eukaryota; Metazoa; Chordata; Actinopteri; Centrarchiformes; Sinipercidae. The transcript has 3 exons. The record is from RefSeq and is a predicted model, not a curated record.